AAAGAAACCAACAGGGAUUGCCUCAGUAACGGCGAGUGAAGCGGCAAAAGCUCAAAUUUUAAAGCUGGCACCUCCGGUGUCCGCGUUGUAAUUUUGUGAGGCAUCUCCGGGUGGGGCGCCGGCCUAAGUUCCUUGGAACAGGACGUCAUAGAGGGUGAGAAUCCCGUGCUUGGCUGGCUGUCCCCGUCCAUGUGAGGUGUCUUCGACGAGUCGAGUUGUUUGGGAAUGCAGCUCAAAAUGGGUGGUAAAUUUCAUCUAAAGCUAAAUAUUGGUGGGAGACCGAUAGCGCACAAGUAGAGUGAUCGAAAGAUGAAAAGCACUUUGAAAAUAGAGUUAAAAAGUACGUGAAAUUGUUGAAAGGGAAGCGCUUGAGACCAGACUUCGGUGGGGAGUGAUCAGCCGUCCUUCUGGGCGGUGCACUUGCCCCCCUCCGGGCCAGCAUCGGUUGGGACGGCGGGAUAAAGGUCCCGGGAAUGUGGCUCCUCUCGGGGAGUGUUAUAGCCCGGGUGAAUGCCGCCAGCCCCGACCGAGGACCGCGCCUUCGGGCUAGGAUGCUUGGCAUAAUGGUCUUCAGCGACCC
Molecule: ribosomal RNA, 580 nt
Filed under: Morchella americana
Lineage: Eukaryota; Fungi; Ascomycota; Pezizomycetes; Pezizales; Morchellaceae
Description: eukaryotic LSU rRNA
Rfam family: Eukaryotic large subunit ribosomal RNA
Source: RNAcentral